AGGAGACUGCCGGUGAUAAACCGGAGGAAGGUGGGGACGACGUCAAGUCAUCAUGGCCCUUACGGGAUGGGCUACACACGUGCUACAAUGGCAGAUACAGAGGUCUCGAUAACCCGCAAGGGG
RNAcentral lists this ribosomal RNA (123 nucleotides) under Caldora sp. SIO3E6. RNAcentral's name for it is "partial 16S ribosomal RNA". It matches the Rfam family "Bacterial small subunit ribosomal RNA", at positions 1143 to 1264 of the family's 1533-position model. Lineage: Bacteria; Bacillati; Cyanobacteriota; Cyanophyceae; Coleofasciculales; Coleofasciculaceae. The record is from RNAcentral.